GACGAAGGGGGCUAGCGUUGUUCGGAAUUACUGGGCGUAAAGUGCGUGUAGGCGGUUGUCCAAGUUGGAUGUGAAAGCCUUGAGCUUAACUCAAGAAAUGCAUUCAGGACUGGAUGACUAGAGGACCGGAGAGGAUAGUGGAAUUCCCAGUGUAGUGGUGAAAUACGUAGAGAUUGGGAAGAACACCAGUGGCGAAGGCGGCUAUCUGGACGGUUUCUGACGCUAAGACGCGAAAGCGUGGGGAGCAAACAGG
This 253-nucleotide ribosomal RNA is filed under the name uncultured bacterium. RNAcentral describes it as "partial 16S ribosomal RNA". It matches the Rfam family "Bacterial small subunit ribosomal RNA", at positions 524 to 776 of the family's 1533-position model. The record is from RNAcentral.